This 1079-nucleotide long non-coding RNA is filed under the name Androctonus crassicauda. The record is from RNAcentral. Lineage: Eukaryota; Metazoa; Arthropoda; Arachnida; Scorpiones; Buthidae.
CUUUAAUUUGAUCUAGAUGAUCUUUGAUUUUUUGGUCAUUUUUUACAUCUUUCUUAAAAAUAUUUCACAGAUUUUCAAUAGGUGACAUAUCUGGACUAUGGACUAUUUUCAAACCAAUCCAUCACCUUCAAAUUAGCAUCGUUCAUCCAAGCUUUCACUAUCUUCACUAUAUGGCAAAAUGCAUUGCCCAUCCAGAUGCAGAUAUUCAGCAGAUGGAAGUAAAUAAUCCUCCAGCAGUAAAGUGAUAUAAUUUGAUGCAUUUAUUGUUACUGAUGAAGUGCAAUUGUCCAAUGCCUGAACUGCUCAUAUAUCCCCAUUACGCUUUGAGGGAAUUUGACAGUCCUUUAAAGACAGACAGACAACGAAAAACUUUGAUUCUUUUGGCUAAUAUAAAGUUAUUUACUUCCAACACAUACUUCAAAAUGAGAUUCAUUUUAGAAAAAAAUUAUUUUUUUCCAUGAAUCAUUACUCCAUGAACAGAAUCUCUGCAGCCAAUCUAACUUACAUUUUUUUGUUUUGUACUGAGAAGAAGUUUUGCUUUUGGUUUAAAAAAUGAGUAUCUCGUCAUCUUCAUGUGUCUUCAAUAUAUUGAAGUUAAAACAAUGGUCGUUAUUGUUUCUGACCAUGUGGAUGUGAUAUCUGAUACAGUAAAAUAUCUUUUAUGCAUAAUUUAUUGUGUCUUAAUGGAUGAUCAUCAUGACAACUUGUUUUUGGUCAACCAGAUGAUUUUCCAACAAAAGUACUCAUUUUCUUAAAUUUCUUCACAAUAUCUUUAACUGUUGAUGAUGCAAGACUCAAUAUUCUAGCGAUUCCCUUGUUGACAUUUCUCAAAUAUGUGGGAUGAUGAUGAUAAAUUUUUUUCUGGAAAUUGACUUGCCACAAACCAUCUUUAAGAUUUAUCAGUUACAAGCAUUUACAGUGUUAUUUUAAUACUGAUGUACAUGCUCUAAGUAUGUAAAUUUAAUAGGCAAUGCUUAUUUCUAAGAUGCAGGAGGUUAAUUCUACUAAAAUUCACAUAAAGCUAUUCAUAGGUAUAAACUUCAAAAAGAUUUGGCCACUAAUUAAAUUAUUUAAGGCUA